RNAcentral lists this ribosomal RNA (500 nucleotides) under uncultured bacterium. RNAcentral's name for it is "partial 16S ribosomal RNA". It matches the Rfam family "Bacterial small subunit ribosomal RNA", at positions 30 to 523 of the family's 1533-position model. The record is from RNAcentral.
AUUGAACGCUGGCGGAAUGCUUUACACAUGCAAGUCGAACGGCAGCACGGACUUCGGUCUGGUGGCGAGUGGCGAACGGGUGAGUAAUGUAUCGGAACGUGCCCAGUCGUGGGGGAUAACGUAGUGAAAAUUACGCUAAUACCGCAUACGAUCUAUGGAUGAAAGCGGGGGAUCGCAAGACCUCGCGCGAUUGGAGCGGCCGAUAUCAGAUUAGGUAGUUGGUGGGGUAAAGGCCCACCAGGCCAACGAUCUGUAGCUGGGCUGAGAGGACGACCAGCCACACUGGAACUGAGACACGGUCCAGAGUCCUACGGGAGUCAGCAGUGGGGAAUUUUGGACAAUGGGCGAAAGCCUGAUCCAGCCAUUCCGCGUGCAGGAUGAAGGCCCUCGGGUUGUAAACUGCUUUUGUACAGAACGAAAAGGUUUCUACUAAUACUAGGAGCUCAUGACGGUACUGUAAGAAUAAGCACCGGCUAACUACGUGCCAGCCGCCGCGGUAA